Molecule: non-coding RNA, 73 nt
Organism: Parelaphostrongylus tenuis
Lineage: Eukaryota; Metazoa; Nematoda; Chromadorea; Rhabditida; Metastrongylidae
Source: the annotation of a GenBank genome assembly
GCGUCGGUGGUGCAACGGUUUGGCUUAUGCUCCCGAAAAGGAUAAGAUCUGGGUUCUAAUCCCAGCUGAUACG